GAGUUUGAUCGUGGCUCAGAUUGAACGCUGGCGGCAGGCCUAACACAUGCAAGUCGAGCGGAUGACGGGAGCUUGCUCCUUGAUUCAGCGGCGGACGGGUGAGUAAUGCCUAGGAAUCUGCCUGGUAGUGGGGGACAACGUUUCGAAAGGAACGCUAAUACCGCAUACGUCCUACGGGAGAAAGCAGGGGACCUUCGGGCCUUGCGCUAUCAGAUGAGCCUAGGUCGGAUUAGCUAGUUGGUGGGGUAAUGGCUCACCAAGGCGACGAUCCGUAACUGGUCUGAGAGGAUGAUCAGUCACACUGGAACUGAGACACGGCCCAGACUCCUACGGAAGGCAGCAGUGGGGAAUUUUGGACAAUGGGGGCAACCCUGAUCCAGCCAUGCCGCGUGAGUGAAGAAGGCC
This 405-nucleotide ribosomal RNA is filed under the name bacterium enrichment culture clone ALO1_GLFRUDD03FT5UZ. RNAcentral describes it as "bacterial SSU rRNA". It matches the Rfam family "Bacterial small subunit ribosomal RNA", at positions 9 to 416 of the family's 1533-position model. The record is from RNAcentral.